Molecule: ribosomal RNA, 498 nt
Filed under: uncultured bacterium
Lineage: Bacteria
Description: bacterial SSU rRNA
Rfam family: Bacterial small subunit ribosomal RNA
Source: RNAcentral
GAUGAACGCUAGCGGCAGGCCUAAUACAUGCAAGUCGAGCGAGAAAGCUCCUUCGGGAGUUAGUAAAGCGGCGAACGGGUGAGCAACACGUGAGAAUCUACCCUUUAGUGAAGAAUACCCUCGAGAAAUCGAGGCUAAUACUGCAUACGUCCCUUCGGGGAGAAAGAUGGCCUCUUUGCUAUCGCUAAAGGAUGAGCUUGCGUACUAUUAGCUAGUUGGCGGGGUAAAGGCCCACCAAGGCAAUGAUGGUUAACCGGCCUGAGAGGGUGUACGGUCACACUGGAACUUAGACACGGUCCAGACUCCUACGGGAGGCAGCAGUGAGGAAUCUUGCGCAAUGGGCGAAAGCCUGACGCAGCGACGCCGCGUGGAGGAUGACGGUUUUCGGAUUGUAAACUCCUGUUAAGCGGGAAGAAAGCCUUGUUUCUAAUACAAGCAAGGUAUGACGGUACCGCUAGAGAAAGCACCGGCUAACUUCGUGCCAGCAGCCGCGGUAAA